Non-coding RNA from Naganishia friedmannii, 71 nucleotides. Lineage: Eukaryota; Fungi; Basidiomycota; Tremellomycetes; Filobasidiales; Filobasidiaceae. The record is from the annotation of a GenBank genome assembly.
GGGACUAUAGUUUAAUGGUAGAAUAGCUGCCUUCCAAGCAGCUGGCAUGAGUUCGAUUCUCGUUGGUCUCA